CCAAGGAGUCUAACAUGUGUGCAAGUCGUAGGGUCAGCUCCUUAAAAAGAGCUAAACCCGAAGGCGAAAUGAAAGUGAAGGUUGUUUUAAAAAAUGACCGAGGCGAGAUCCUAAAAAAAACCGAGCAUAAUAGGCACGUCGCUUUUUUUCCUAACCUUCACGGGGAUAAAGAUGAAAGUGGCGGCUCGGAGGCGCAUCGCCGGCCCGUCUUAAUCGCUCUCUUUCUUAGCGGGAGAAUCGCUCUCAAGGGUGAUGGGGAAUUCCUUUCGGGGAAAUCUUUCUGAGCCCCCGCGGAGUCUCUUUUGCGGAUUGGGAACCUAGUCGAUGAGGCGGAGCAAGAGCAUACACGUUGGGACCCGAAAGAUGGUGAACUAUGCCCGGGCAGGACGAAGCCAGAGGAAACUCUGGUGGAGGUCCGCAGCGAUUCUGACGUGCAAAUCGAUCGUCGGACCUGGGUAUAGGGGCGAAAGACUAAUCGAACCGUCUAGUAGCUGGUUCCCCUYCGAAGUUUCCCUCAGGAUAGCUGGCACUUGACAAAAGAGACAAAAAACAAAAAUAAAAGCGAAAUAAAAAAAACAGUCUCAUCCGGUAAAGCGAAUGAUUAGAGGCAUUGGGGUCGAAACGACCUCAACCUAUUCUCAAACUUUCAAUGGGUGAGAUGUCCGGCUUGCUCAAAAAAUUUGAAAAAAAGAAUGAAGCACGGACGUAGGAUGAAAGUGCCAAGUGGGCCACUUUUG
This 737-nucleotide ribosomal RNA is filed under the name Pachymerium ferrugineum. RNAcentral's name for it is "partial 28S ribosomal RNA". It matches the Rfam family "Eukaryotic large subunit ribosomal RNA", at positions 666 to 1139 of the family's 3401-position model. The record is from RNAcentral. Lineage: Eukaryota; Metazoa; Arthropoda; Chilopoda; Geophilomorpha; Geophilidae.